This 306-nucleotide long non-coding RNA is filed under the name Helianthus annuus (common sunflower). Its description in RNAcentral is "sRNA HanXRQr2_Chr07g0299761". Lineage: Eukaryota; Viridiplantae; Streptophyta; Magnoliopsida; Asterales; Asteraceae. The record is from RNAcentral.
UCUAAACCCACCAAACACUACACUAACUUACUUCAUCUAGCAGCAGAGAACAACAGCAGCAACAACGCCGCCACCAUGGCGGCGAUGGCGGCGACCAGCCGGAGUGUUUAAUGAAUAGGGUUUUCUUUGGAUUUGUCAUUUCUUCAUCGGUUAUUGUAACCCCGGAUCAGAUUUUAAGAAAUUGUUUUGUCUGUCACUCGCUUUUCUUGAUCUGAGAUAGAUACAAGUCCUGUAUCUAUUUGUGUGUAUGAAAUUGGGCAAUUGUGAGUUAGAUGUCUCAAUUGUCUGAACCUCAAGGCUCUUCUA